CCAUACGACCGUACCGCAAACCGACACUGGUGCGCGAGAUGAGUAUUCUAAGGCGCUUGAGAGAACUCAGGAGAAGGAACUCGGCAAAUUGACACCGUAACUUCGGAAGAAGGUGUGCCCUAUUAGUGUGUAGCAAACAACGAAGCAUGAAUGGGUUGCAAAAAAUCGGUGGCUGCGACUGUUUAUUAAAAACACAGCACUCUGCAAACACGAAAGUGGACGUAUAGGGUGUGACGCCUGCCCGGUGCUGGAAGAUUAAAUGAUGGGGUGCAAGCUCUUGAUUGAAGUCCCAGUAAACGGCGGCCGUAACAAUAACGGUCCUAAGGUAGCGAAAUUCCUUGUCGGGUAAGUUCCGACCUGCACGAAUGGCGUAACGAUGGCCACACUGUCUCCUCCUGAGACUCAGCGAAGUUGAAAUGUUUGUGAUGAUGCAAUCUCCCCGCGGAAAGACGGAAAGACCCCAUGAACCUUUACUGUAGCUUUGUAUUGGACUUUGAACAGAUCUGUGUAGGAUAGGUGGGAGGCUUUGAAGCAGGGUCGCUAGAUCUUGUGGAGCCAACGUUGAAAUACCACCCUGGUGUGUUUGAGGUUCUAACCUAGGUCCAUUAUCUGGAUCGGGGACAGUGCAUGGUAGGCAGUUUGACUGGGGCGGUCUCCUCCCAAAGCGUAACGGAGGAGUUCGAAGGUACGCUAGUUACGGUCGGACAUCGUGACGAUAGUGCAAUGGCAUAAGCGUGCUUAACUGCGAGACUGACAAGUCGAGCAGAUGCGAAAGCAGGACAUAGUGAUCCGGUGGUUCUGUAUGGAAGGGCCAUCGCUCAACGGAUAAAAGGUACUCUGGGGAUAACAGGCUGAUACCGCCCAAGAGUUCAUAUCGACGGCGGUGUUUGGCACCUCGAUGUCGGCUCAUCUCAUCCUGGGGCUGUAGCCGGUCCCAAGGGUAUGGCUGUUCGCCAUUUAAAGAGGUACGUGAGCUGGGUUUAAAACGUCGUGAGACAGUUUGGUCCCUAUCUUCCGUGGGCGCUGCAGAUUUGAGGAAGCCUGCUCCUAGUACGAGAGGACCGGAGUGGACACACCUCUGGUGUAUCGGUUGUCACGCCAGUGGCAUUGCCGAGUAGCUAAGUGUGGAAGAGAUAACCGCUGAAAGCAUCUAAGCGGGAAACUCGUUUCAAGAUGAGAUCUGCCGGGGCCUUGAGCCCCCUAAAGAGUCGUUCAAGACCAGGACGUUGAUAGGUCAGGUGUGGAAGC
Molecule: ribosomal RNA, 1248 nt
Filed under: metagenome
Description: bacterial LSU rRNA
Rfam family: Bacterial large subunit ribosomal RNA
Source: RNAcentral